GGCCCCAUCGUCUAGAGGCCCAGGACAGAUGGUUCUCAGCCAUCAGACACGGGUUCGAAUCCCGUUGGGGCUA
RNAcentral lists this transfer RNA (73 nucleotides) under bacterium. Its description in RNAcentral is "tRNA-Glu". It matches the Rfam family "tRNA". From Rfam's summary of the family: Transfer RNA (tRNA) molecules are approximately 80 nucleotides in length. RNAcentral also lists the same sequence under 2 other names. The record is from RNAcentral.